This 820-nucleotide ribosomal RNA is filed under the name uncultured Geobacter sp. RNAcentral describes it as "bacterial SSU rRNA". It matches the Rfam family "Bacterial small subunit ribosomal RNA", at positions 39 to 839 of the family's 1533-position model. Lineage: Bacteria; Pseudomonadati; Thermodesulfobacteriota; Desulfuromonadia; Geobacterales; Geobacteraceae. The record is from RNAcentral.
CAGGGCGGGUGCUACCAUGCAAGUCGAACGUGAUCCGCCCUUCGGGGUGGUGAAAGUGGCGCACGGGUGAGUAACGCGUGGAUAAUCUGCCCGAGGAUUUGGGAUAACAUCUCGAAAGGGGUGCUAAUACCGAAUAAGCCCACGGGGUCUACGGAUCUUGCGGGAAAAGGGGGGGACCUUCGGGCCUCCUGUCCUUGGAUGAGUCUGCGUACCAUUAGCUAGUUGGUGGGGUAAUGGCCUACCAAGGCGACGAUGGUUAGCUGGUCUGAGAGGAUGAUCAGCCACACUGGAACUGAGACACGGUCCAGACUCCUACGGGAGGCAGCAGUGGGGAAUUUUGCGCAAUGGGGGAAACCCUGACGCAGCAACGCCGCGUGGGUGAUGAAGGCCUUCGGGUCGUAAAGCUCUGUCUGGAGGGAAGAAAUGAUUGGGAGCUAAUACCUCUUGAUCUUGACGGUACCUCUGAAGGAAGCACCGGCUAACUCCGUGCCAGCAGCCGCGGUAAUACGGAGGGUGCAAGCGUUGUUCGGAAUUAUUGGGCGUAAAGCGCGUGUAGGCGGUCUUUUAAGUCUGAUGUGAAAGCCCCGGGCUCAACCUGGGAAGUGCAUUGGAAACUGGGAGGCUUGAGUACGGGAGAGGAGAGUGGAAUUCCUAGUGUAGGAGUGAAAUCCGUAGAUAUUAGGAGGAACACCGGUGGCGAAGGCGGCUCUCUGGACCGAUACUGACGCUGAGACGCGAAAGCGUGGGUAGCAAACACGAUUAGAUACCCUGGUAGUCCACGCCGUAGACGAUGAGUACUAGUGUUGCGGGUAUUGACCCC